RNAcentral lists this long non-coding RNA (35788 nucleotides) under Nicotiana tabacum (common tobacco). RNAcentral's name for it is "long non-coding RNA (NTAB_LNC002377)". The record is from RNAcentral. Lineage: Eukaryota; Viridiplantae; Streptophyta; Magnoliopsida; Solanales; Solanaceae.
AACAACCCAAUAUAUAUGCACAAAUUUAUGAAUUGUUAAACAUACAAUAAUACGAGAUACCCCGAUUAUUAACUAGAUGCAAUAUCCUAAGUGUUUAGUAAAUAGAUAAUAUUAUGGCAAGCAAACAAACACAUCUAUUUACUACUUUACUAUACUUUACGUUUUGGGUAUAUCCAAGAACAGGAAGUACAAAGCGAGGAUUUAAUGCGGGGAUUCUUCUUUGAUUUUUCUUCAAACGUCAUCUCUGAAAGAUAACUCCCGGGUAGGGUACCUCACAAAAGAAACAACGAAAUAUUAGCGAAUAACAUAACUAUAAUAUAUAAAGAAUGAAAGUAUUUUUUUGAAAUUGUUUUGGAAAUUGUUUGAAAUAUUAUAGAAAAUGUUUCUAUGUUUCUGAAAGAUUAUCUUAAAAAUGUUUUUGGAAAUAGUUUGAAAAAAUAUUUAUUGGGAAAUUGUUUUCCUUUUUUUUUUGGAAAAUAGCUUUGGAAAAUAGUUUAAAAUAAUAUAAAAGCCUCAAAUGUGUAUAUUUAAUAUCCGUCUAGACAUGAGAACGCGAACCCUCGGUUGCGACUCCGGUGGCCAACCGUGUCGCUUUCUCUUCUUUUUCUUUUUCGAUGUUUAUUAUCAUCACCUCGUUAAUAUAGAGCCCAGUCCAGAGGGUCAUUCGGGGUAUCGUGGCCUAAAAAAUUAUUCUCAUAGGCCAUAGCGCAACAUUAUGAAAAUCGACAGCAACCAAGUGUAAUAUUUGUUCGAAAUUAUUUCACAUAGCAGAGGCAACUAGUUGUGCAAUGUCGAAAUCCAGCCCUUUACUCAAAGUAGGCAACCAAGUUAUCGAGCAGACUUGCCGUUUAACCAAGAAAAUAACGGCGACAGACAAAGCACAACAGUCAAAGAACCAUAGCAAAAUAUCACGACCAUAAUAUAGUACGACAAAAAAAGUCAUGGUCACAUUCAUAUAUCGUCCAACCAAUUUUGACAUAACGGAGCCUGUGACAGGCGAAGAGGACAGAUAAAAACAUAACAAAAUAAGAAUAAAGAUCGCCGAAAAUGGCAAAAACAGUGGAGAAGCGAGGAAUCAUUGGAACUCAACUUUUCUGGCCCAAAACUUUCCAGAUCUAGGCUUGCCAUAACAUCAGCACUCAAUGGACCAACGAUGCUCUACGAUGGCAAGGGUCACCAGAGCAUCAUUGAAAUAACACACGAGGGGUUGACGAAAAAUUAGCAAUCCGGCCAAAGUUAGCAGCACCCAAAACUGGCCAGAUCUGGCCGCAUCUGUGAGCAAAAAUGUGUAACGAAAAUAAAAAAAGAGGCCAGAGAACGGCAGUAACAACACAUUAAAGGACCAGGUCACCGGAAAAGUUCUUUUCGGCCAAAACCAAACCGGUAACUACACCAUUGAAGUCGGUGACUCUACUACCACAACGAACACCGGAGCAGUGUCUCCACAGGAACAAAGUGAAGAAGGUCGCAUCAAAGUUAGAUAUUCCGACAGAUCUGAUAGCAACGGUGAGAGAAAGGGAGAGAGGAGGAGGGGGAGAGAUAGAGGAUCACCUAGCCAGUGAUUAAUUCUAGCCGGCGGACUGGCAGCAGCGUUGGGGAAGAAGGAGACGAGCGGCUGGUGCUCUCAAGAGUUGAGAGAGAUGAGAGAUCCCUUAUGGGUUGAGGCCAGAUUUGGUGUACAAAAUGAGAGACAACCAAAAAAUGUAUUAGGGUUGGCCUUAUUAAAAAAUUUGAUGUCUCUUUCUUUUUGUAGUGUAAAAAUAUAUGUGGGGUCUGUGUAGAGUGUAUGGGGUAGAAACUUAGGGGUUAAAGUUUCAGGGUAGAACAAAAUAAGUGGGUCUUUACCCAUUGUAUAAAAAUCAUGUUGGGUCAAAUCAAGGGUCAUGUCUCAUCAAAUGUCUUGUCACGUCAAUGUCAUGUCGCGUCAAUGUCAUGUCGCGUCGGAUGUUGAUGGGAUAUUUAAAUUUGACCGGACUUGAUCCGUAUUUUUAAAGUAAAUUCUACUGACUUUCAUGUAAUUAAAUAGUUUGCGCUAUAAAUUAUAAAAUAAUUAUUUAAUUAGAAAAUCUUGUACUAUGUAUUUAAAAUAUCAAUAACUACAACAAAGAUGUAAUUAUUAUUAUUAUUUUUUUAAAAAGACAAUAAAUUGAUAAAAAUCCUAAUAUUUGAAAAUAGGAGAGUCACCAAUAAAUUAUUUUAAAUAUUGGACAAAUGCACAAAAAUGGUGGUAUUUAACUAAUUACAAUAAAAUGAUAAAAACUCCAGUAUUUUGUAAAAAUAGGAAUAAUUAUCAAUGAAUUACAUUAAAACUAAAUAAUAUGCAAAAAGUCAUAUUUUAUCAUUUUUUUAAUUAGGAAACCUGCAGAAGUUAAUUUUAAAAUACGGAGGGUUAAAAUUAAAUGUCAACAACUGCCCUUCUUUGACCGGAGAUGAUGCAAGAGUCUUCGGACAAAGAAACUGACAUAUUACUCGAUUUUGACCCGACAUGAUAGAGCAAUGGAUGAAGAGUUUUAGAAGAUUAUGACCGAACUCUGGUAUUUGAACUGUCUAGAUAUCUCGGGUUAUACGAGAAUCAGGCCGCGUGUAGUUCUAGGAUGCAACUGAGUACUACUUAUAAAUCGUAGUCUCAUGGGGUGGAAGACUAAUGGUCGAGGACGAAAAGAUCAUGUGAUCUCGACAUUGCUUCCAAGAUUGCCCCAGUGUUGGACUGUGGUGAUACUAGGAUGUGGGUGUUGGAUAGUGGAUGAAUUGAUUGAUAUAUUUUGAUGUGGGUACGACCGGACUCUGUAUUGAGUUUUCCUACAUAUCUCAGAUGUAUCAAGAAUCAAGCCGACUGUAGUUCGAGAAGCGAUGAAUGAUUUGAUUUUGAUUUUUGAUUUGAAAAUUGCCCCAGCAUUACUGUGAUAACAUUGAGUGUUAUGUUAACUAUGAGGAUCUCGAUUGCCUACACACCCCAUGUCGAUGGGACGUAAGAAUGAUAGUUAGGACAUGGCGUCGAUUGUUGUUAGAAAGCUCGACGUCCGUCCUCAAAAUCUACCCCAUUAUUCCUGAAGACAAUUCCACGUUGUGUCGCCUCUUUAAUCAGUGGAGUUGACGAGGUGUGGAUUAUGCCUUUGUCUGAUUUGACAAAGAUAAAUACGUGAUUUUUUGAACGAAAUAGGGUCUCAGGUUGGAACUUUAAUUCGAAUGAGAUCCGGGCUAAAUACCAUUCUGAAGUGAUCAGAGCACUUUAGAUUUUGAAAGAAAUUCGGGCUGUGUACCGGUCCAAAGUGAAGCAUUUGGAUUCUUGAAGGAAAUUCGGGUUGUGUACCGGUCUGAAGUGCUAUAGAAGAACUUGAAUGAAAAAAAGAAAUCCGGGAUAUGUAUCGGUCCAAAGUGAUCAGAGCACUUGAAUGUAAAAGGAAAUUCGGGAUGUGUACCGGUCCAAAGCGAUAUCAGAGCAUUUUGAAUGUAAAACCGGCUGGUAGUUAUGAUUCUGAAAUGAUAUCGGAGCAUUUAAAUCUAAAAUACCUAUAUUGGAAGGUGGGCACCUAUAAAAAUGAACUUAAAAUAAAAUGCCCAUUGUUCAGGAGGGCGUCUGGGAAAUCUGGCUUUGAAAUGAAACGCCCAUUAUUCAGGAGGGCGCCUGAAAAAGCAAGAAAGUUAUUUUUUUCUAUGUAGGAAAAUUAAUGAAAAGGGUUCUGUUAUUAAUGACUCAGGUAGCCUACGUAUCCAAAUAGAAUCAGGCCUUCCAUUGCAAUUGAUACAAAAUGGUAGAGUUUUGGAAUGAUAUGGUUGGGUCUGACUAAGACUGCCAACGUAUCCCAAUGGAAUCAGGCUAAAAUGUAGUUCGACUGCAAAAGAUGACUGAAUCUGAUGUGGAUUGCCUACGCAUUCCUACCAAAGGAAAUCAAGCUGCGGCGUAGUUCAGAAUAUAUAGAAAUGAUUUUUGCUUUUCUCUUAUGAGAGUGGGACCGGACCCUACGUGGGUUGCCUACGUAUUCCUACCAAAGAAAAUCAAGUCGCGACGUAGUUCUAGUACAACAAAACCUAACUACACCGUCAGCAAAAACAUGACUCUCCUUUUGUUUUCUGUAUUUUUCGUUGUUUUGUAGCUUUUAGUAGAGAAUAUUUGAAGAUUUGAGAAGUAAAGAGAGACUGGGAUUUAUUGAUCGAUCAUCAUUUUGACUUGAUUUUGGUUGGUACCAACAAUUAGUUUUGUGCAUAAGAAUUUCGACCAUACUUUCCAGCAAUCUAAGAUCAGCUUAUGAGUAAUUGUUUACCCGUAAAAUGGUACAGUUGAAUUUGUAACGUGGUUUAUAGACAUGUGAAUCAAUUUGAUCCCAAAAUGAUAAAUAAAUUAAAUAAAAUAUAAGACUUAGCAUUGAAAUCGAGAUAAGAUAGCAAAUAACCUGGUUCCGGGAGCAGAGCUUUUGAUGGCAGCAAUAUGAAUAUUAAUAAGCAAGAAAUGAAAUUUUGUUGAGCUUUUGAAUAGUAUAUAGCAUAAGUUUGUCAGAAAAUUCCCGUCCCUAUAAUGGCUAUAGUUGCACCUAGAGAACAAGGUCCUAGGAUCAAGUGUCACGACCCAAAAUCUAUUAAUGGUAGUGAUGGCACAUAACACCACUGUCAGGCAAGCCAACAAUAGUUCAUUAACUAGAUUAUUCAUUUUACUAUUUUGAAUUCAAAAUUUUCCUUCAAUUAAAUAAUCAGAAAUAAAAUUUACAGAGUAAAUGAUAAUAUUUUCCCAACUACAAUACUGAACAACUCAUAAGUACCCCCAAAACCCGGUGUUACAAGUGCAUGAGCAUCAACUAGGAAGUAAAAUAAAAUACAUCAUCUGUCCGGAAUACAAAUUAGACAGGAAAAAUACAAAUAACCAUAGAGGAGACUCUGCUGGCUGCGGAUCAUAACCUGAAAUGCAGCUCGCGGCAAGUCCCGCAUCAUCCGUGCCUCUGUGCCCAAAGGACCACCGGACAUAAAAGUACAUGCACAAAAAUAUACAACAAGUGUAGUAUGAGUACGUAAAUUCACGUGUACCCAGUAAGUAUCUAGCGUAACCCCGGAGGAGUAGUGACAAGGGGUCGACAUCGACACUCACUAGUGGUCCAAUAAUAUCAGGUACAGUAAGGAGGUGAACAAAUAUGAGGUAGAGUAAAUAAAUGAAAUAAAUAAGUGUAAAUAUGUGGUACAAUUAUCCUCCUUACAAUAAACUCAAGCUCUAAAUUAAUAAAUUCCUUCUCAACCGGAGCAUUGUUAUAAUUCGAAUCAGGGAAAAACUCAUAGAUACUCUAGCUUCUUGCCAAAUACGCACGAUUCCAUGAGGAUAUUUUUAUAGAAAUGCCGAGGCGUAGGACCCGAUCCAACAUAAAUAUUAAACUGUGCACUACCGAGGGUCGAACGAUACGAACCAUAUAUGCAUCUAUUAACCUGCCGAGGCGAACAAACCGCUCCCAUGAGAGUGUGGUACAUAAAUCCUGCCAAGGCGAACAACCCGAUCCCAUUAGAAUAAGAAGCUUUAACGGGUCCUUGACCCCACUCACGAAUAAAUGUGUGAGUUAUAAUUUCUGUAACGAAAAACUUUUCAAUGAAACAUAGAUAUAUAUAUCGCGGACACAAUUUCAUAAGAGGAGUACAAUUGUUUCGUGACUAAUCAUGACACUCGUGAAGUCUCUACAAUAACGAGUCUAUCACUCUACGCAUGUCCAGUCUCAAGGCAUAAUGCGAAAUAAAAGAAUUAAACGAGCAAAGAUAAUCUCUAUAGUGCAAGUACAACAUGGUGUGAACCUAAGUCUAUCCGGACAAUAGCAUGAAUCUAGCUAUAUACGGACUCUCGUCACCUCAUACGUACGUAGCCCCCGUAACAAGUAGCAAUUAUCAAUUACAACUCCUAGGGGUAGUUUCCCCCUCAUAGAGUUAGACAGGAGACUUACCUCGCUCCGAAUUUUCAUAACCGGCUCUAAAGCCCUCUAACACCUCAAACCGAUGCUCGUCGCUCCAAAACUAGUCAAACAAUGUGCAAACCAAUAAAAAUAUAUUCUAAUACUCAUAACAAAUCAAUUUAGACAAAUUCCCAACUCCGCUCGAAAAGUCGAUAAAGCAACCCUCAGGCCCACGUGCCCGGAUUUUGAAAAUUUUCGAAGAUAAACAUUACCCAUAACAUUACGAACUCAAAUAUAUGAUUUAUUCUCAAUUCCAUGCCCAAAUUCAUGGGCGACAUCCAAAAAUACCAAUUUCUAGGUUUUCUACCAAAACCUCAAAUUUCUACAAAUUUUCAUGUCUAAAUCCAUAUUUAAUCCAAGUAUUUAACUUGCAAUAGGUGGGAAUCACUUACCUUAACAUAGACGAAGGAGAUGGAGCUCAAAAAUCGCUCCAAGACCAGCUCCCAUGGCGGAAAUGAAGUGAAAAUGGCCAAAAUCCCAUUUUAAAACAACUCACUGCCCAAUCCAACCCUUCUUCGCGAACGCGGCACAGCCCUCGCAUUCACGAAGCUCAACGACCUCACGCACAGAAAUUACUCUUCGCAUUCGCGACACUCUUAUCGCGUUUGCAAAGGCCAGCUGCCCUGCCCCUUCGCGUUCGUGUUCCCAUCUUCGCGUUCGCGUAGGCCAAACAACCUUAUGCCCAACUCCCUUCCCUUCUUCGUCGCGUUCGCGUUGCCUUGUCCGCGUUCGCGAAAGCUAAAUCUUAGCAGCCUCAAAGUCCUUCUUCGCGAACGCGGGACUGCCUUCGCGUUUGCGAAGGAGGAAACCAGACAUCAGCACAACAAUUCCAAAACAUCUCGAAAUGAUCUGAAACCAUCCCGAAACACACCCAAGGCCCCCGAGACCCCGUCCAAUCACAUAAUCCAGUCCCAUAACAUAACACGGACCUGCUUGAGGCCUCAAAUCAAAUCAAACAACAUCAAAAUCAUGAAUCGCACCCUAAUUCAAGCUUCAUAAACUUUAGGACUUCAAAUCUUUACAUUCGAUGCCGAAACCUAUCAAAUCACGUCCGAUUGACCUCAAAUUUUGCACACAAGUCACAUUCGACAUUACGGACCUACUCUAACUUCCAGAAUCGGAAUCCGACCCCGAUAUCAAAAAGUCCACUCCCUGUCAAACUUCUGAAAAACCUUCAAACAUCUAACUUUCGCCAAAUGAUCCCGAAAUGACCUACGGACCUCCGAAUCGACUUUCGGACGCGCUCCCAAUACCAGAAUCUCAUACAGAGCUAUUCCCAGACUCGGAAUCCCAAACAGACAUUGAUAACAUUGAAAUACACCUCAACCCAAAUUUAUGAAAUUCUUCCAAAAUGCCAAUUUCUAUAGUAGGCGCCGAAACACUCCCGGGUCAUCCAAAACCGGAUCCGGGCAUACGCCCAAGUCCAAAAUUCAUCAUACGAACCUGUUGGAUCCUUUGAAUCUCGAUUCCGAGGUCGUUUACUCAAAAAUCACACUUUAGUCAAUUCUUCUAACUUAAAGCUUCCAAAAUGAGAACUUUUCUUUCUAAAUCAACUCCAAACUUCCUGUAAUUCAAUUCCGACCAUGCGUACAAGUCAUAAUACCUGAAGUGAAGCUGCUCAUGGCCUCAAACCGCCGAACGACGAGUUAGAGAUCAAAACGACCGGUCGGGUCGUUACAUUCUCUCCCACUUAAACAUACGUUCGUUCUCGAACGUGCUAAGAACUGCUCUAGAGUUGUUCGAAAUCAUUGUUUAACACCUCAUGCACCUACCCGUGCUAACACAACUCAGUUGAGCACAUUAUCUCGAGCCAAUAUGAAGAUCCUCCCCUUUAUUUAGGCAAAUAAGCCUUAGGGCCAAAUUCCAACAUCCGAAAUUCUCUACCAGGCCUGCUUCCAACAUACGAACACCGUAUCAACCACUACACGAUGUACCAAUACAUGAUUUUAUACUCUUAUUGAAUUCACACCAUGCCCCGCAUAAUUCACAUGACCAUGAUAACAUCCUCUGAUAACAACGGCCGUAAUCCCACGAAUCUAAUGCCCACAACACACUUCACGACGCAUAUAAGUCUUGUUUUAACUUUCGCAAUACUGCCACGACAGAAGUGAUGUGUAGAAACUCAUAACCACAUGCCAAAACAUAAUUCAUGGAGUCUCUCCUCCCGACGAGAACCAUCACCUCAUUUUGGACUGAAUAUCGGUAUUUACUCUUUAAGAUGCCUCAUAUAAACCUGAUUGUACUGAUCCCAGGUCCAAUAACCUCGUCUCACCCAGUAUAAGUUGCUCAAGCAAUAAGCCACCUCAGACACUACCAAAAGUCUUAUAUGAUGCCACCAUGUGCCAACAAGCCACAACUCGAAUGUGAUAUAUAAGGAAAACGAACUCUGGAAAGAACUACUCAACCUACGCAACUAAUUUAAACAACCGAAAAGGAUGUUAUGAACCUUCCUCAGAAAGUAAGAAACAUAGCACACAAGAAUAGAUAUGGGGAACUGUACUCAACAUAACACUGUUCCGGCGUGCAACCCGAUCCACACAUGAUACCGUUGCGGCGUGCGACCCGAUCCAACCAUGAUACUCAUGGCGGCGUGCCACCCGAUCCAAACAACAUACUCGUGGCGGCGUGCCACCCAAUCCACACAUAACAAUCUAUAAGGAAAUACUUACUGAGCUAGAAUGCUCAUAACUACGAUAUACCCGAAUAUAGACCAUAAGCACGCCAAGUGCACAAUACCAUCCUUGGGGAGAUAGAUAGCGCCAUACGCUACAAAACUCAAGCAUAGCUAAGGUGCGAUGAAUGACCUGCAUCUCGAGAGCCAUCCUGCUCAUAUAACACUGCAAGCUACACAGGAUCACAACACAUGGGCGAAUAAUCAAACCGUCUCACAACCCACAUGGCACAAUAGAGUAUUAUAUGAAAUAGUUGACAACGAAAAUAACAUCCAACGCCCGAACGCUCCUCCAUAAGGAAUGCUAUGUUGAAUGAACACACCCAGGCUGGUGUAGAGUACACAUCCACAUCGGACCCGUCAACUGGCCUCAAACUGAUUCUGAUCAUACCAUGCUUGGGCAAAUAACCUCUCAAAGAUCCACAACGACCUCUUUCCCAUGACACACAAGAACAACUGUCGAAUCCGGAACAAACUCCCACAAUUCACAGCCAAUUGAAGAGAGGGCCCUUCAGGCCUAAACUCUCACAUUAGCGAUAGUACCAAAAUCUCCAUACUUGGUUUCAAUCUUUAAUAAAUCAAGUAACUAUAUGUCACACUUUUACAAUCUUCCCAUGGGAUACGCUCCCCCGACCUUCCGUACAAGGUAACAAGUCUGCACAUCCAUUCCACCGGCCAUACUAAUGCAUCUUACUCUAACCAACUGAAUCCUUUCUUGCUCGUCCGAGCUCGUGACAUUCUUGUCAACACCAAACUGCAACCUUGAUUCUCAACUUCCAAUUCCCAUGCCGCUCACUGUACUUAGCUCAUUUCAGAAGAACCAAUGCAACGCAACUGAAUUCGCAAACCGAGGGAGCACAAACCUCAUGUCACGAUCUAAAUCGCCAUGACUCUUCCGGAAUCCAUUUACGCAACCUAGUCCUUAGAACCAAAUACCUCCCAAAUCAAUCGAAUUAUGGUGGCUGCCAAGCCUCGCACGUACCGCCACAAAUCACAUAUAUAACUUAACACGCUGAGGGAACUAAUCAUGGCCACAAUCAUGUCGAUUCAACCAUUACUAGCCGACCCGUCUUUUUCCAAUACUGCACCGCAUACCUAUUGAUAACAUAGAACAUUCCAAGUCCUUAGACACUGUACUCAAGUUCUUGAACCCACCAGGACCAUUGUUGAGAGUCACCCACUCUGUCUUGGGCUCGAGUAUAAGCCAAACUCUAGUGCUCUGCCAGCACGUGAACACCCUAUCAAGGGGCACCCAAUUGAAUUCUUUUCCCUUGUACAUUACUCCCACCAGAAGUGGAAACUCUGAGUCUUCUCAAAACUGAACAUGAAUCGAUAAGGCCCAAGUAUAGCACACCUUACUCAAAUCCUUUGCUCACAUUACCACUGAUGUUUUCUUUCCUUAGUCGUAGUAACCCACCAAUGUACCGAUAACUAGAAACCUUACAAGUAGACAACCAUGCAAUCUAAUCGUAGACGGUGGGGCUUUCCCACUUAGCUUGAAGCUACAAUUUCAUAACCCUGGAACCUACCAAAAUUCCUUCUUCUUCAUUGAGAUGACCUCGCGCAAUCGACCCGCCAAAUUCCUUGAAAUCUUCCUGUUAACCAUUUCAUGAACACUCUGAAUCACUAGCCAUAUUUACAUAUUCGACCUCUUACCGGAUAGCCCAUAAAAUUCUUCAUUGAAGCUUAUCAGAACCACGCAACCAUUAACCUGCUCACCGGAGAUAUCCCACAUGUGGAAAUUCCAUGCUGACCUCUUUCAACAACGCUGUACCGAGUACAAUUACUACGAAACCAAUAAACCAUUCUGAGCCCGUGCCCCUCCACCAGUUGUGCAAGUCCGUUCACUCACCAUUGACAUCAACUACAGGUGCGACGAUACAUUCCAAUCCGAAGUCAUGUUGCAUCUCUCUUCAUAUCAAGUAACUCCUUCCUGUCAUAUCUAAUCUUCCUCAGUAUAGUAGCCAAUAUUCCAAAUUAGUCCGUAGACCUAGUCACUGUCCACGAUAAGUCCCAAAUCUCUCAAACAUUUCCCCAAGGCGUGUAGCUAUCCUACCACAGAACCCAUAUGAUACUCUGCCACUCUCCCACUUUGGUUAAACCCUCUCCUUUAAGCAACUACUUGACUUCUGCUUCUUAUACUUGGCAUCUUAGAAAUUUAACCACCGCAAGACACCUCCCACGUGUCCUUCCUCAUAAAUGCCCAGUUGUUGCCGUAAAUCAAAUCCAUCUCUGUAGCACUUGAACCAAUAGAUCGCUACCACUCUAAACUUCUCCGAAGGUCAUUCUUCUCGAGCCACCAACACUAGGAACACCGAUUCGAUUCUAAACCACAGCACACCGUGAUCUCUGACAGCCACUUCCCUGGCACCAUUCACAAUACUCUGCCCCAAAGGCAAAUUGAAGAAAACCAUAACACCGGCGAACUUAACACAUUCAUCAAGGUUAACGACACCAUAUCACAGAUAAAAAUUCCACCACGCUCGGAAAUACCAAGUCUCGUUACUCCAUCAACCCAAACAUGAACACUCAUAGUCUGAUUGCCUUUCCUCCGCCGGAAAUAAAACACUAAACCACUGAAUCAUGCACUAAUAAAAACCCCCUUUCAAGUUGUUCGCUGCCCCAACAUAUAGGCAAGCAACCUACCAUUACAUCAAUACUGUGCGAUAAUAACUCAUGAACAUCAUAGCAACAUGUGCAUACCCUCAAAAUUAUCUGAAAUAUAGCUACAGAGCCAAUAUGAUAGAACACCCUUCCGCAAGAAGACAAUAAUAAUUUGCUCGAAUGCGUAGGGAGAAACACCCUGCCCCACAUUUGUAGUACCAUUAAAAUUCUUCGAUUCCCGAUUGAUAACAAGCACUGCAUGUCGCAUAAGAUUGAGUAGGAAGUAAAUAAAGACAUAAGCCUCAAAGGAAACAAAUCGCACGAUGAGGAAUCAAGAAGGGAAGUGCUCCUAACAACCCUGUAGCCUCUCGAAGAUAAGUACAGAUGUCUCUAUACCGAUUCGCAAGACUCUACUAGACUCGCUCAUGACUCGUGAAACCUAAGUGAACCUAGUGCUUUGACACCAUAUUGUCACGACCCAAAAUCCAUUAAUGGUCGUGAUGGCGCCUAACACCGCUGUCAGGCAAGCCAACAAUAGUUGAUUAACUUGAUUAUUCAUUUUAAUAUUUUGAAAUCAAAAUUUUUCUUUAAUUAAAUAAUCAGAAAUAAAAUUUACAGAAUAAAUGAUAAUAUUUUUCCAACUACAAUACUGAACAACUCAUAAGUAUCCCCAAAACUCGGUGUCACAAGUGCAUGAGCAUCAACUAGGAAGUAAAAUAAAAUACAUCAUCUGUCCGGAAUACAAAUUAGACAGGAAAAAUACAAAUAACCCUGGAGGAGACUCUGCUGGCUGCGGAUCAUAACCUGAAAUGCAGCUCGCGGCAAGUCUCGCAUCAUCCGUGCCUCUGUGCCCAAAGGACCACCGGACAGUAAAAGUACAUGCACAAAAAAUAUACAACAAGUGUAGUAUGAGUAUGUAAAUUCACGUGUACNNNNNNNNNNNNNNNNNNNNNNNNNGCAAGUACAUCAUGGUGUGGACCUUAGUCUACCCGGACAAUAGCAUAAAUCUAGCUACGUACGGACUCUCUUCACCUCGUACGUACGUAGUCCCCGUAACAAGUAGCAAUUAUCAAUUACAACUCCUAGGGGUAGUUUCCCCCUCAUAGAAUUAGACAGGAGACUUACCUCGCUCCGAAAUUCCAUAACCGGCUCUAAAGCCCUCUAACACCUCAAACCGAUGCCCGUCACUCCAAAACUAGUCAAACAAUGUGCAAACCUAUACAAAUAUACUCUAAUACUCAUAACAAAUCAAUUUAGACAAAUUCCCAACUCCGCUCGAAAAGCCGAUAAAGAAACCCUCGGGCCCACGUGUCCGAAUUCCAAUAAUUUUUGAAGAUAAACAUUACCCAUAACAUUACGAACUCAAAUAUAUGAUUUAUUCUCAAUUCCAUGCCCAAAUUCGUGGUCAAAAUCCAAAAAUACUAUUUUCUAGGUUUUCUACCAAAACCCCAAAUUUCUACAAAUUUUCAUGUCUAAAUCCAUAUUUAAUCCAAGUAUUUAACUUACAAUAGGUGGGAAUCACUUACCUUGACAUAUAUGAAGAAGAUGGAGCUCUAAAAUCGCUCCAAGACCGGCUCCCAUGGCGGAAAUGAAGUGAAAAUGGCCAAAAUCCCAUUUUAAAACAACUCACUGCCCAGUCCGACCUUUCUUCGCCAACGCGGCACAGCUCUCGCAUUCACGAAGCUCAACAACCUCACGCCCAGAAAUCACUCUUCGCGCUCACGACCCUCUUAUCGCGUUCGCAAAGGCCAGCUGCCCUGCCCCUUCGCGUUCGCAUUCCCAUCUUCGCGUUCGCGUACGCUAAACAGCCUUAGGCCCAGCUCCCUCAUUUUCUUCUUCGCGUUCGCGUUGCCUUGUCCGCGUUCGCGAAGGCUCAAUCUCAGCAGCCUCAAAGUCCUUCUUCGCGAACGCGGGACUCCCUUCGCAUUCGCGAAGGAGGAAACUAGACACCAGCACAGCAGUUCCAAAACAACCCGAAAUGAUCCGAAACCAUCCCAAAACACACCCAAGGCACUCAAGACCCCGUCCAAUCACACAAACCUGUCCCAUAUCAAAAAGUCCACUCCCGGUCAAACUUCUCAAAAAUCUUCAAACUUCUAACUUUCGCCAAAUGACCACAAAAUGACCUACGGACCUCCGAAUCCACAUCCGGACAUGCUCCCAAUAUCGGAAUCACCAUACGGAGCUAUUCCCAGACUCGAAAUCUCAAAUAGACAUUGAUAACAUUGAAAUACAACUCAACCCAAAUUUAUGAAAUUCUUCCAAAAUGCCAACUUCCACAAUAGGCACCGAAACGCUCCCGGGUCAUCCAAAACCUGAUUCGGGCAUAUGCCCAAGUCCAAAAAUUAUCAUACGAACCUGUUGGAACCUUCAAAUCCUUAUUCCGAGGUCGUUUACUCAAAAAUCACACUUUAGUCAAUUCUUCCAACUUAAAGCUUCCAAAAUGAGAACCUUUCUUUCCAAACCAUCUCCGAACUUCCCGAAAUUCAAUUUCGACCACAUGUACAAGUCAUAAUACUUGAAGUGAAGCUGCUCAUGGAAUCAAACCACCGAACGACGCCCUAGAGCUCAAAAUGAUUGGUCGGGUCAUUACAUCAAGCCCCUCUUAAAUGAUAAUUAUGGGGGCCAUUGAAGAAUGUGUAAUGGCAGGCGAUGAAUGCCAUAUUCUCUAUAACAGACUGUGUAUUUAAUACUACAGAAUAUUUUUCAUUGAAUGCUUUCGGGUGGCAGGCCUUCAUUUGUCUUCAUUAGCAAUAUUCCGUUCGGGGGCUUCUAGGUGCCAACAGAAACUGCUGCCCCGAUCUUGAUUUCCACCUGUAUCGCUUUCCAUCUAUCUCCGGUUCCAUGUGUUGCUCUAUUAUAUGAUUAUUUAAUAUGAACUAAUUUUUCUGCAUACAGACAGCCCCUACCUUUCCUGGCCGGAAAUUUUCUCAUCCUCUCUGGAAAGUUUCUCAUGCUUAAUUAGACCCACGUCUCUCCGCAUUUAAUGCCUAGAACACGCGUCACUCCAUGAUUCACCAAUACUUUCGGCGGUUCUCGAGGUAAUCAUGGACACAAUUUUAGCCGCCUAUUCCUUUACUUAUACGCCUCAUUCAUCUUCUUCUACACUUUAUAAAUUUUCGAACUCUCUCAAGUUUUCUUACUCAACUCUCUCUUGCUUUUAUAUUUCUUUAACCUUCUUCUUCAGAGAAAUUCUUACUUCCUUCUGCUAACCAUGGCCUCCUCUUUCAAGAACUCUAUCUUUUCAAAAAACAAGGAAAGCACUGAUGCUGCUGCUCUUCCUACAGUGAGCACCAUUAUCCCCAAACGGCUCAAUACAACUAAGGAUUUUAGGAGAAGUUUCCUUCUGCUAACUCCCGCACAUGGACUGUUGGUGUGUACCCUUCUUCCAUCCGUCCUUCUAGCAUUCCUACUGUGAAGGAAGACUAUGAUUGACAUGAUUUGAACGUCGUCGCUCCCGAUCUGGCUGAGCGAGUAACCUUCCCUAAGAAGGGUUUUACAUACGUUUACACGUAUUCCUUCACUUUGGGUCCAUUCUCAUUGAGCGAGGGACUUCACCCCAUAAUUUUGGAGUUUUGCUACCAGUAUGAAGUAUGCUUGGCACAAGUAAGCCUCUAUGUGUGGCGGAUGGUAGCCUGUCUACGGAGGCUAUGCCAGGAGACGGGGAAGACCUCUCAUUAUCCCGCAUGAUGAAUCUUUACUCCCCCAAAAUCUUUCGUGGGGGAGUGAUAAACUUCAGCAAACGUGGUCACCACACUUUGCUCACCAGCAUGGAUGAUGACAACGAUCGCAGAUGGAUGGAGCGAUUCAUUAUAGUUGCCACUAGGGACAUCAUCCCGGCCACGACUCCACCUUUCCCCGAGUCAUGGAAUCGUACACGUAAGUUCAAUGUCUGUCUUUUCCUUGAUCAAAAGCUGUUCCAUGCUGUUACUAAUAUUUUUCUUUUCACUAUUUUAGCAACUCGGUGGACACCUCCAAGGGUUGAAGGCUUUGACCAGUGGGUCCAGAAGAUCCUGGAUAUUACCACGUUUGAGACCCGUCGGUGGAAAGAAUUGGCCCUCAAAUACAGGUCGAAGGCCAAAAAGCAUGGUAAGUUGAUUCUCUAACUAAUCUUGUUUUUACCUUGCGUAUAAGAAAAUUGGAUAACUUCUGUUUUCACUGAAUUCAAGCCUUCCGUAGGGGUCUGUUACCGUCCUCGAGGAUGAUAUUUUGGCUGAUCCCACAGAUGCGACGAGGUUGCUGCAGGAGGCUUUCACUCGAAUGGGUGCCAUCGGACCUACUUUCGGUGCAGGUGCUUCCUUUCGGAGUCCCCGGCCGGAGAACAAGCAACAAAAAAGGUGAUGUUCCUCUAUGGCCGAGGGUAAAAAUAAAAAGGUGAAGAACUCCACACCCGAGCCAGCCACAACCACUGUGGUGAUCGAUGAUGAUGGGGGAUCCAGUGAUGAAGGAUCUUCCCUACAGGUAAGACGAUGACCUUCAUCAUCUUCAUCUCCAGCCAUGACUUCACCACCAGCAACUGAUACAUCAUCCCCAUCGGCCGCAGACACCCGAGAGGAUGAUUUCCCUCCUCCCCAGUCCCUAGAUCAUGGGAAUUUGGGGUAUAACUUUUCACCCCCUCCGCAGAUCCUCAAAAGAGGAGGAGUGUCUCCCUCUCUAUCUCUAUCGGGUGCCAUCUGCUAUCCCGGCCGAUGAAACUUGCCAAUUACCUAAAGCCUCUGGCUUCAGAGAAAGAUAAGAAUAAAAUCCACCCUCUAUUGGGGGAGUGUAUGAUAAACAACACCAUGCACAACGUGACAACGGUACAAUAUUUGCUCCUUUUAUUGUUUCUUCUAGUUUCGCUAUGACAUGAUUUUUGAUUUGAAUUUUUGCUUUACAGGCUAAAACGCGCCAUGCUAUUUCGGAAAAAAUGAUUUUCAAAACUAAAUGCAAGGCUCCCGCGGUGAUAUAAGGAAAGAUUGUGGAUUACUUUUGUGAUUUGAGACUACGAGGCGGUACCUCGGUAGUGACUCUUGUUGGUAUUUCUCUAUUACUUCACUUGUGUUUGGUUGUUUUGUUUCCUUGACUUAACAUUUCUUGUUUUCUUCCGUGAUGCAUUAUUUGCCUUGAUUCUAUAUAGUUAAUUUUGGCAUAUUCCUUACUUGUUUCAUUUCCAUUAUUAUCAUUAUUAUUAUUGCACCGUUAAAUUAUUCAUCAUGUUUCUUAUUUAUUCCAGUAGGGCCUUGACCUGACCUCGUCACUACCCUACAGAUGUUAGGCUUGAUACUUACUGGGUAUUGUUGUGGUGUACUCAUGCUACGCUUCUGCACAUCAUUUUGUGCAGAUCUUAGUACCUCCUACCAGUCCAGGCACUAGCGAGAGCUUAGCUUCAGAGACUUCAAGGUAUACCUGCCGGCGUCCGCAGGCCUCGGAGUCCCCCUCUACGUCGACUAUUCUAUUUUCUUAUCCUUUUAUAGAUAUUAUAUAUAGGGAUAUUCAGUACUACUAUAUAGAGCUUGUGACUUGUAUUCGCCGGGUUUUGGGGAGUUGUUAUGUUGAAUUGCGGAGUUUCCUUCAUAUUAUGUUGAGUUAUUUAGACUUUAAAAUUUAUUUCAGACAUUUAUGCAUGAAUGUUAGGCUUACCAAGUCUUAGGGACUAGGUGUUAUCACGACAUUCUACGGAGAGAAAUUGGGGUCGUGACAUAUCGGGAUUGACUUCGAUCCCCCUUUGUGACACCAGGAACCCUAAGAACUUACCGGAGCUGACUCCGAAUGAACACUUUUCGGGGUUAAGCUUCAUGUUGUGCUUCCUUAGAAUGUCAAAGGUUUCUUGUAUGUGUUUAAGAUGAUCACCUGCGUUCAAAGACUUAACCAACAUAUCAUCUAUGUAAACUUACAUGGUUUUCUCUAUUUGUUUUUCUAACAUUUAUUCACAAGCAUCUGAUAAGUGGCUCCGGCGUUCUUAAGCCUAAAGGCAUCACAUUAUAGCAAUAUGUGCCAAAGUUCAUUAUAAACGAAGUUUUGUCUUGAUCCUCCAGGUUCAGUUUGAUUUGGUUGUACCCGGAAUAGGCAUCGAGAAAACUCAUCAACUCGUGCACGACUGUCGCAUCAAUCAUUUGAUCAAUAUUUGGCAAUGUGAACAAGUUUUUUGGGCACGCCUUAUUCAGAUCCUUAUAAUCUAUACACAUGCGAAAUUUAUUAUUCUUUUUUGGAACUACAACUACAUUAGCUAGCCAGUCAGGAUACUUUACCUAUCAGAUUGAACCGAUAUGAAGCAAUUGAGUUACCUAUUCUUUGACAAAUUUGUUUAUCACCUCAGCGAUAGGGCGUUUGUUCUGCCUUACCGGAGGGAUGUUAUUAUCUAGGCUUAACUUGUGCACGACCACCUCUAGCGGAAUACCUGUUAUAUCUGUAUGCGACCACGCAAUAUCAACGUUAAAUUUAAGAAAUUUUAUAAAUCCUGGCCUGAGCUCGGGUUUUAAUCCUAUCCCCAAGUGGAACUUCCUCUCCAAGAAUUUCUCAAACAAUGCGACUUGCUCGAGUUCUUUCAUUAUGGAUUUGGUUGUGUCCGUUUCUUUUGGUACCUGGAAAUAUCUUGGUACCUGAUAGGAUUUCGAUGACUCCUCCCCCUUGUUGACUUCGUUCAGCUCCGGAGCAAGCAUCGAUUCCUUUAAUUGCUAUGCCGCAUGCUCCUUCUCUUUGCUACUGGUAACGGAGAUCGCGUUCAUCUCCCUUGCCGCCGGUUGAUCUCCUCUUAUUUGUUUAAUUCCCUCCAGAGUUGGGAAUUACAGAAGUUGAUGGUAUGUUGACGGCACAACCUUCAUCUCGUGUAGCCAUGGUCUUCCAAGAAUAAUAUUGUAGCCCAUAUCGAUGUCUACUACUUCAAAAGUGUUGUCUUCAUUACCCCUUCGACAUUCGUGGGCAGCAUAAUUUCUCCGCGGGUUGUCACACUUGUUAAAAUGAACCUAGCAAGGAGCUUUGUGGCCAUAAUGAUGCUUCCGGUCAGCUUGGCUUGUUCCAACACUCUACAUUGGAUAAUAUUGGCUGAACUCCCUGGGUCUACUAAGAGAAAUUACUAGGGCAUCGUUGUGCGAAAGUAGGAGUCCAUUUGCAUCCUCUUCCAUGAAGGUGAUAUCAUCUUCGGCGACUUCCCGGAGUCUCUUGCUAUGGGUAACUGAUACCUUUGUCUUUUUCGCUACCGAAAAGGUUACACCAUUAAUCUCACCCCUCCCCGAAAAUCAUGUUGAUAAUUAGACGGGGAGGAUUUUCUCCUGCUUUUGAGGGUUCCGCGUUAUCCCGGUUGUGGCCGUAGUUGUUCUUAGCUCGGUCGCUUAAGAAUUCUCUGAGAUGGCCAUUUUUCAGCAAUGUCGCCACCUCCUCGCGCAGAUGUCGACAGUCCCCAGUUCGGUGGCCGUUGGUCCCAUGGUACUCGCACCAUAGAUUAGGAUCCCCCUGACUUGGGCUGGAUCUCAUCACCUUGGGAACCGUGCUUCCUUAAUGUUCCUCAUCACCGAUAUCAGUUCCACUACACUGACAUUGAAGUUAUAUUUGGACAAUCUGGGUAGGUGGAAUCCCUGGAGCCCGAUACCUCUUUGUCUUGUGAUGAUCAGUUAUUCCGGCCACGAUCUUCUCUCCUAUCGGUAGUAAAUCUAUCCGCCGACCGAAAACCUCUUCCGCAUCCUUCGGCCCUUUUAUAGGGCAAAAACUGACUUCUAGAAGACCGUCGAUCUGCGUUAAAAUCAUCCGUCAUCUUUUUCUUAUUCUUUUCUCGGUUCCGACCCUUGGUUGAUGCCGGGAAACCGAGCUGGUUAUCCUCGAUUCUUAUCUUCGACUUGUAGCGGUUGUGGACAUCUGCCCAUGUUGUUGCUUGGAACUCGAGAAAACUUUCUUUCAGUUUCUGGGAAGCAUCCGAACUCCUCAGAUUCAGCCCUUUGGUAAAUGCUUCAGGUUUCCAUUCGUUCGGCACGGUAGCAACAUCCUUUCCCUCUGAAAUCUGGUCACGAACUUCCGCAGCAAUUCGGACCCUCCUUGCGCAAUUUUGAAUAUGUCGGCCUUUCGGACCUGUACCUUCCUGGCCCCGACAUGGGCCUUGAUAAAAGUAUACGUGAGGAUAUCGAAGGAAUCAAUUGAGUCUUCGGGCAAAAGUGAAUACCAUGCCAGGGCCCCUUUCGUGAGGGUCUCCUCGAACUUCUUCAACAAGAAUGAUUCAAUCUCAUGCGGAUCUAAGUCGUUUCCUUUCACCACCAAUGUAUAGGUGGUGAUGUUCUCCUGUGGAUCCGAAGUCCCAUUAUAUUUUGGCACGUAUGGAAUUUUGAACCGCUUCGGGAUCAACUUCGGUGCCACUCUUGGUUUGAACGGCAACUAGGUGUAUUUCUUUGAGUCUAAUCUUUUAGACACUGACGGUGCGCCCGAGAUUUGAUCCAUUCAGGCAUUUAUUUCCCUCAAAAACUGCAUGCCUUCAGUUUUAAAGGGAUCAUUCUCAUUAUUGUUACUGGAUCCGCUGCCAUUCCCCCCGGCCCUGUUGAAGUCUACUUCACCACUCGAGGUGUUGUUAUCAACCCUUUGUGCUGUUUGGUUUGCGGGAGCACCAGGAGGAACUGUACCUCUUCCAUUCGCAUUGCUGGAAGCAACCAACAAUGCCUCCAUCAACUCCGUCAUGACCUGAUCCUAUCGCGAGAGAUGACCCAUAAUAGCCUUUUGUUAUUCCCUCAGGAUUCUCACUGUUUCCACACCAUGCUCGUCUUCAUCGUCAUUAAGAGUUACCUCCCGAACGUGUCGUGAAUAUUGCCCACCAUGGACCGGCAUGGCCUCAUCCGCCUCAUUGUGGGUAUCGCUAAUCGAAUCUUCAUGUUGAGACAUAUUUCCUUAGGCCUUAACGUUGUGCGUGAUGUUGACAUUAUUAUCUGCCAUUUUAUGAUUUUUUGCUAAGAAACAAUGAAUUAAACAGGUUAGUAAUAGAUGCAAGGAUCAACCCAAUUAUGCAACUAUCUAAGCCCCACAGUGGGUGCCAAACUGUUUACCCGUAAAACGAUACUAUUGAACUUGUAACGUGGUUUAUAGACAAGCGAAUCGAUUUGAUCCCAAAAUAAUAAAUAAAUUAAAUAAAAUUCAAGACUUAGCAUUGAAAUCGAGACAAGACAGCAAAUAGCCUGGUUUCGAGAGCACCUAGGGAACAAGGUCCUAGUAUCAAGCCCCUCUUAAAUGACAAUUAUGGGGGCCAUUGAAGAACGUGUAACAGCAUGCCAUGAAUGCCAUAUUCUCUGUAGCGGACUGUGUAUUAAAUACUGUAGAAUAUUCUUCAUUGAAUGCUAUCGGUUGGUAGGAAUUCAUUUGUCUUCAUUAGCAAUAUUCCCUUCGGGGGCUUCCCGAUGCGGACCGAAACUGCUGCCCCCGGUCUUGAUUUCCACCUGUCUCGCUUUCCAUCUAUCUACGGUUCCACGUGUCACUCUAUUAUACGAGUAUUUAAUAUGAACUAAUUUUACCCUAUACAAUAAUUCCUAUAGCCUCGAGUGGUACCACAUGUAUACCUAAGUUUGACAAGAUUUGUUUGUCUUGCUUCAAUCAAAGGUUUUCAAUUCUGCUUAUCCUCAUGUUUCGAGUGCCUCACUACAAAUAAAGUCCUAAGUUUCACACAUAUUUGAAGUAUUCUUGUAUUUUGGCUUUUGGACAUUUUUGCAAAGCAUACUGACACUCAGAAAGAUGUUCAAUGCAUGCAAUUGAGAUACCAUAUGCUUGAACUUUAUGCGAGUAUCCACUAAUGUGAGAACACUUGGAAUAAGAUCAUGUAGGGCUUUACUAUCAGCUUGUAAUGUAGGCUUGGAUUAAGGUAGGAUUUUCAUUUGGGAUAAAGUGACUAAUCCCUCCUUGAGCACUGCACUGUGUCCGUGCCUUCGGUGUUCAAACCAUGCUUCGGCGCUUGAUCUUGUUAGAUCGAUGUCCCUUUCUUUGCUUUGAUUUCUUUUGUACUUGUAGGAGAUUCUUCUUCCUUUUUCAGAGGUUUUUUCUUUCUUUUUUUUCCUUUUAUCCUUUUGAAUUUUCUCCUACUUUGCAGAAGUUUUUCCUUCUUUUGUUGGAGUUCCUCCUCUUUAAUUUGUGGAGUUUUCUCCUUUUCAUUGGAUUUUUUUUUUGAAUUUGCGAAAGUUUUCUCCUCCCUGUUGAAUCCUCCUUUUGAAUUUGCGGAGUUUCUUCUUUCUUUUCCUGAAGUCAUGUCUUUGAUUGUCUUGGACUUUGCAUCUUUCGCCUUCUCAUGCUUGUCGCCUUCACUUUAGUCUUAGUCCGAAGUUACACGUUUCCAGUGCACUCGAGGAGGUCGAGCCAAGAGAGGGGUAGUGCAUUUAGCACAAGAAAGGGUAUAGGCUAAGACGUGGUUGUCCAAGAGAAGGCUUAAAGCUCAAAAGGGGUAUGCUAGGGAUUUAUGUCAUUUGGUGGGCUUGAAAGGCUCAAACGGGACAAAGAACGCCUACGAUCCUUUCCCAAAUCAAGUGUUACUCAAGAUUUUGCCUCAACAGACAUUCAAGCCAAGUUCUAGAUCUACAAUGCAAUGCAAUGAAUUUUAAUCUAGGCUCACCUCACAAUGCACAUGAAACGAUGAGGUCAGAUUUGUUCCUACCCUAACUGUUAGCAUGAGAUUUUUCAAGUGUCACUAGGGUAUAAUUGAGAGGUACCACAAGGGUCUAUGGUUUACUUGAAGCUGUUCCUCACUAUCAUACUAUUAAAACAUUUGUUCUUUCCCAUACACACUCCUAACUAUGCUAGUACCAACCAAGCCAAUAUUUGAUAAUUUUUGUUUGUUUCUUUUUUUNNNNNNNNNNNNNNNNNNNNNNNNNNNNNNNNNNNNNNNNNNNNNNNNNNNNNNNNNNNNNNNNNNNNNNNNNNNNNNNNNNNNNNNNNNNNNNNNNNNNNNNNNNNNNNNNNNNNNNNNNNNNNNNNNNNNNNNNNNNNNNNNNNNNNNNNNNNNNNNNNNNNNNNNNNNNNNNNNNNNNNNNNNNNNNNNNNNNNNNNNNNNNNNNNNNNNNNNNNNNNNNNNNNNNNNNNNNNNNNNNNNNNNNNNNNNNNNNNNNNNNNNNNNNNNNNNNNNNNNNNNNNNNNNNNNNNNNNNNNNNNNNNNNNNNNNNNNNNNNNNNNNNNNNNNNNNNNNNNNNNNNNNNNNNNNNNNNNNNNNNNNNNNNNNNNNNNNNNNNNNNNNNNNNNNNNNNNNNNNNNNNNNNNNNNNNNNNNNNNNNNNNNNNNNNNNNNNNNNNNNNNNNNNNNNNNNNNNNNNNNNNNNNNNNNNNNNNNNNNNNNNNNNNNNNNNNNNNNNNNNNNNNNNNNNNNNNNNNNNNNNNNNNNNNNNNNNNNNNNNNNNNNNNNNNNNNNNNNNNNNNNNNNNNNNNNNNNNNNNNNNNNNNNNNNNNNNNNNNNNNNNNNNNNNNNNNNNNNNNNNNNNNNNNNNNNNNNNNNNNNNNNNNNNNNNNNNNNNNNNNNNNNNNNNNNNNNNNNNNNNNNNNNNNNNNNNNNNNNNNNNNNNNNNNNNNNNNNNNNNNNNNNNNNNNNNNNNNNNNNNNNNNNNNNNNNNNNNNNNNNNNNNNNNNNNNNNNNNNNNNNNNNNNNNNNNNNNNNNNNNNNNNNNNNNNNNNNNNNNNNNNNNNNNNNNNNNNNNNNNNNNNNNNNNNNNNNNNNNNNNNNNNNNNNNNNNNNNNNNNNNNNNNNNNNNNNNNNNNNNNNNNNNNNNNNNNNNNNNNNNNNNNNNNNNNNNNNNNNNNNNNNNNNNNNNNNNNNNNNNNNNNNNNNNNNNNNNNNNNNNNUAUAUAUUUGAAUUUUUGGACUUAAUCAUCAUCUUUUUUUUUGGUUUUUAAAAAAUGAGACCGAACCCGAAGGUUGCCUACGUAUCUCAUUGAAAUGAGAAACAGGUCAAGCAUAGUUCAGGAAGGGUGGAAAGAAAAUAUUUUUAGAUUUUCAUUUCAUUUUAAUUUUUUGAAAUUUUGAAUUAAUUAAUUUUUGUGAUUUUUGUUAGAGAGAACUGAAUGUAAAACAGGCUUUGUAGUUACCGUUCCGAUGCGAUAUCGGAGCAUUAAAAGUUAGACGGGCUUUGUAGUUACCGUUCUGAAGCGAUAUAGGAGCAUUGAAGGUUAGACGGGCUUUGUAGUUACCGUUCUGAAGUGAUAUCGGACCAUUGGCAGGAAAGUAAAGAUUGAUACAGUCUCCAUGCGAUGGGAGGAUUCUGUCACGACCAAACCGAAAGGCCGCGACGGGCACCCGGUGCCUAACUCAACCGAUACCAACGUAACAUAUCCUUCUUAUCAUACUAUCAUGGGUAAAUGAGCCGGAAAGGUCGUCAUGAGAUAACCAGAACUAAGCAUAAGAGAAUACUCGACAUAGGACGACCCAAGAUGGUAUACAAACUUAUACAUGUGACAUAUAUGCCUAUAAGACCGAAAUGAUCAUUUGUACACUCAAAACAUAGGCCGAUAAGGCCAUACAAUCAUCCAUAUACAUGACAUACAUCUACAAGCCUCUAAGAGUACAUAAACAUCAUAAAGGCUAGGACAGGGCCCUGCCAUACCAAUCAAUACAUGUCCAAAGUAUACUGGCCAAAUAAGCAACUCCGGAGCAAGUGGAGUGCACCAACACCUUCCGCUGAGCUAAUAGCCUACUAGGAGGACAGCCAACCUAUCUAUCGGGACCUGUAGGUAUGAAACGCAGUGUCCCCAGGCUAAAGGGAUGUCAGUACGAAUAAAGUACCUAGUAUGUAAGGCAGGAAAGCAUACAUAAGAACAGUAAUGUAAAGAGAGAUAGAGAAGAUACAACUUGUAACAUAUGAAUGCUUCUGGGGGCAACUGACAUGAAAUGCAUGAUACAUAUACUUUUUAAAACAUAUAUUUCUGUGGGCAUCGUCAUCAUCAUAUCAUACCCAGCCUCGAAGAGGACUCGGUAAAAACGUACCCGGCCAUCAUAAGGCUUGGUAGAAUCGUAUCCAGCCAUGUAGAGCUCGGUAAACCCAAUUGAUCAGUGGUUAUACAAUAGGUGCCGUACCCGGCCGACUAUAGCGCGGCUUGGUAGAGUACAAUAGAUACAUAUAUGUAAUGCAUGCUGGACUCAUGAAAUCACGGUCUAAACCUUUCGGAGUGACGUAAGGUUGUCGCACAUUCGAUUAAGAUUAUGGACAUCGAUACCAUCAAUAUGAACCGCAAUAGGAUUCAAGGAUCAUACAUACUUGCUUAGAAUAACUUUAUAAGGAAAGAACAACAUGGAUAGCCUUAGUUUCUAGGAGUAGAUCUGUUAUGAAAUAGUGUAUCGUUUGCGUUCAUUUCACUUAGAUCAGGCCAAAAGAAAGAAGGAAGUGACUUAACAUACCUUAUCACAAUCUGUCCUAUAACCAUGUUGAACUCCUCACAUCACACUUCAAUCCUGUUUUCCUUGCUUUCCCAAGUCCAUCAACCAACACGAACCCAUACAACCUUCACCUAUAUACUUUCAGCACCACAACACAAAUCAAGCUACACAACAACAAGUGCAUAAACAUCACCAACGAAACUACUAUUUAAACCCACAAAUGGCAAGCUCGGAUUGAAUCCCUUUUGAACCCUUUAGCCCCAAAGUAAUUCAUUCAUUAACUUAACAACAUAGCCAGUAUGAUAUUAAGUACAAUGGGAUGACUUCUAACCUCCUAUUCAUCUCCUAAUUCACCCUCAAACAACCCAACAAUCUAACAACAACACCAAGUACAACUUUCGAUUGUUAUGUUGUCCUUUCCCUUCAUAUUCACAGUACCAAUAGCAAGUUCGACAUGUAGACAAUAUUUUAUAAUAACAUCAUAAGAAAGUCAUUUCAAAGGUUUCCAACCAUUUAAAGUUCAUGGAAACAACCUUUCCAAAACAGUCCAUUAAAAAUAAUAACAUCUCAAACUAUUUCAAGUUUCCUCUUGUAGUAUUUUGCUCAAAUAAUGCAAUCAAUACACAAACAACUUCAAGAACAUGUAGUAGGAUGUUAUACUCACCUUAGCCAAUAGAAACAACACAAAAUUUCAGCCAAGCAUAGCCCACAACUAUUCCCAAUGACACCACAACACUAUAGGUGUUGUAUUCUCUUCUUGAAUCAACGUUUGGUGUUCAAGUUGGUGUGUAAACACUUGUAGUUCGCCUUGAAAAUCUAAUAUAUAUGAAGGAGGGACUGAUUAUUACCUUAAUCAACAAGAACAACAUGAAACCUGAGGUUACUUCAUUUUGAUGAACCCUCCUAAAUAGCCACAAGAUGAAGUACUAUGAUCUAGCAAGCACCACGGGAUUUCUAGCAUUGGAUUCAUGUUUUUAUCUUAGGUUUCCACCCUAGAAUUAUGGUGGAGAGAAUUUAGGAGUGUUUAGGAACUGUUUUGGACGAGAAAAAUGAGUUAAAACUAUUUAGAAUUGACUUAAAUACAAGCUGCUUGCACAGUCUCGCAAAAAUGCAUAUAUCUGUCUACUCUGAUAUCGUAUCGACAGACGGUUAAAUGCGUUAGAAACUAGUCUCGUAGAUCUUCAAUUUUUUAGGUAGAUAACCCCGUAAUUCCAAGUAUAUGUUUUAUAAAAUCUCACCGACAUUUGACCUAAUUUUCAGCACAUUUAUGAAUGUAACUUGUGAUGAACUUUGCCAACUUUUGUUCCACAACUCGCUUGACUUCAAAACAUAAUACACGACUAUCAUACGACUAAAAUAACUCAUAACAUAACCUCCUUAUAAUGUUAAGAACCCUAGUAUCACCCCAAAGGUACAUGUUAUAACAUUCCAACUUGUCGACUUUCAACCAAACUUAUUUUCUUCAAUUCGUUUAGCUUCUAAGCCUUCCAGCCCUCUUUGUAAUUGGUAUUCAUGAUAAUAAAUAUUGUAACCUCCACGGUAAUAUGAUUAACUUACUUUGUAAAAUUUUCAAAGAUAAUUUAAUUUUUGAGCUUACAUCAAUUGACUUACGACAUACUUUUACAUACGAAAACAUGGGGCAUAACAUCAUUCCCCCCUUUGGAACAUUCGUCCUCGAAUGUUGACUGAUGCACUUAUCAGUCUCAUAACCCAUAGCUCUUACAAAUAUUUUAAUACUGUCCUUGCCAUCUAGGCAACUGUUUUGUGAAUUAAUCCAAAGGCCAGGGCAUUCCACCCUUUAGGCCUCUUUCUCACACCAUGACUUGAUGUCAGAAUUCUUCCAAUCUCGUAACUGUUGCUACCUUCUAUCAUGCAGCAUGUAUGACUUUGUCCUUGUAUGUGCGCCUAUGCGACUCUUCUCUCCCUUUUCCUCCAUCUUUUAGCCAAUCUCUAGUCCCUACUUUGGGAACAUAUACAAAACGUUGACAAGCUGUCCCUCUGGGCAUCUAUAGGUGUACUGAAGUUCUUCGCUCGAUACAUGUCGAACUUAUGACUAUUGCUAUAUCUUGUUUCAUAGCCUCGGUUAUCUAUGCUUAUGGCUUUACUACAUCUAGUCAGCUUAUACUAUGCCAUAACACUUUGGUUUAUUAUUACCAAGGUAUGCUACCCAACUCUAAGUUACUCUCUCGCUGCUUAUCCUAUAUGUAUAAAUCUAAGUCCCUUAAUGCUUCCUCAUUACUGUUCAUCUUAAGAAUGACAGCCUAAUCUUAUCUCAUACUUUGAAACUUUCAUCCAUCUAUUGUUGAUUCACCUUAAUGUUGAUCUAUAAUCUACCACUGAUAACUUGAAACCUCUUAUGUAAUAUAUUGUCACUAGGGCUCACGUCUAAUCAGGGAACAUAUAGAGUUAUUUGCCUGAUUCACUUAGAGACAAUACUAUACAUCAUAACCGUAUUUCAUAGCAUCCCAACGUGAUUCACCUUAUGGGGGUAUUUUAAUCCUGUAUAAUUCAUGAAAUCCCUUUUCUUUGAAUCAACCCAAUCAAAGGCCUAAACGUCAUCCUCUUAUAUAUCGCAAUUAGACCCUUAUUCUACUACUAGGGAAACAUUCCAUCUCUUCUAUAUACUCAUAGUCUUAAACUCCUCCGAGUUCUUUCAGGCUAUACAAAGCUUUCUAUAACUUAGGGAAACCAUCAACUCUCUUGUUUUGAUGGGCUUAAUUCUGAGGCCUUACCUAUUCUUGUCACCUUCUCCCUCCUUUUUUCUUAUCCUUACUCCUAUCUACCUAAAACCUUGUCACUCUACCAUAAUUUAGCUUACGACCUACACAUAUCUAUUUAUACUAAUCACAAUCUUCCUUUAACUUGCUAGCACUAUAGAUUUCCUUUCGUGCCUUCUCAGUUGUUUUGAAAUGUAAGCAAUUACUCUUCCUGGUCAUUCUGCCACUUGUUGCAUGAAUACUUGGCUUAUCUUAGUGCUGACACAUAUUGGAAUUCCAAACAACCCAUAUGAUAUCGAAUAUACUUUUGAUUUUUACUUCCCGUUCAUUAGUCACGAUAGGUGCCACUUUCUUAUAAAUACAAUGUUGUAGUGAGACUGCUGUGACAAGGCCAUUUCUUCUUCAGGUCACUAUGCUUAGGUCGAAGCCUUCUUCUUUAUUUCCCCAGCUAGUCUUUCGUUGUAGUACUUAGGAGAGACCCUCUGACUCCUGUAAAGCUAUGAGCUUAUUACAUCGUAUUCCCGAAGGAAUUUUUGAUGUUCUUACUCGCCUAUAAUUAUCCUUAGUUACUUACAUCCGUGCCCUAGUGCUCGUAAGGUAGCUUCUGAACUGAAAUUUUGACUAUCUCCCCAAUGUUUACUUUUUUUUCCGUAACACUUAUACGGUACCUUUAACUACCCCAACUCCUAUCUGAAUAUUUCUCAAGGAUCACGAUGUCAUCAUAUCUACGAGAUUGAAUUCCCUAUGUCGGGUUUCACUAUGUUUAUCUUGCAUGAUCUGUUGAUUUAACUGUAUCUUCUUUUCUAGCCAUAACUAGACUCUUCCUGAAUCAACUACUAACUACUCGUUGGUCCAUUCUCAUAUCUAUAUUUCGUGUAAUCUCUUUUGGGUUAUUUCCUUUGUCUUAACUUACCUCUCAUACUGGCUCCUUACAUAUCAAGUGUUCAUUCGCACUUAUUUAUCAAUAACAUCUGGUGCGGGAACCCUUACUGCCUCUCUCCCGCGUGCUUGCAUAAUGUUCUGGAGUCGUAACAUAUCUGUAGGGUCUGAAUAAAUACAAUCUCAUUCCUUUAUCCUUUUUACCGAAUUCUUCCUUUUCUAUUCCAUAGUUACCUCAUCAUCUUUGGCGUCUUUUCACAUCUUCACUGAUAUCUUACUCGCAUUGCGGUAACCCUUAUGUACCAAGGAUUACUGAAUAUCUUAUGCACGGCAAUGAUGCCUAGUGUAACUAGCACACUUAGUCCCUUAAACUUAACUCUACUCACAGUGCUUGCUUUAGGGAAGCAUUUUCCUAAAUGACCUUUAAAGGUUAUUCUUCUGUUGUCCAUUCUAUUAUUGUCGGAACACAAUCUCUAAAAUUCUCACGAUGUCGACUAUUAUCAAAUCCUCUGGUCCUUAAUUCAUGUUGGGUUUUAUCUUGUUUACUAGACCAUACUAAUUUCUGUUACUACGGGGGGGUCUAACUUAGCCUUCCGGUAAUCACGUUGGAGUCACCAAUUUAUUUCUCAAAAUGAGGAUAUGACCUUUGGACUAUACUGUUUUAUUGUCUCAAGGCCUAUCACCUCUUAGCUUUUCCUUCACUUGACUAUAGACUCUGUCAUCGUGUCAUAUUUUGAUUAUCACCCAUUUAUCACAUCUUACUCAUAAUGCUUCAUUUACUCUCUUUGUAUUCUCCUGCUAAUAUUUUUAUCUAUCACCUUAUUUUGAAAACUUCAACAAAAUAUUCUUUCGCUUUUAGCUCUCCUUGCUCCAUCCACUGGCUCUUCGGGUCACCUAGCAUUCUCUCUUUACUAGGGACGGGAGCCAUAAAAGGUAAAUAUUUAUCCCUUCUAGGAUUCUAGUGCCAGUCUUCUAAAUUUUUUUGGACAUUCUAGUAUUCAUAUCUAAAUGUACUAUUCUAGAGUGCACCAUCGGGGUGUCUCACAAGGAGAACUAUUACCACGUUUGCAAUAUUCUUUGGAAAUGUUAGCUAAUGCUAACAAUCCAUCCAUAAUUUUGGGUUACUCUAACCCCAGCUGGAUCCUGAUAUCCUAUCCUUCUCUUAAACAAUAUCGGUUAGCUCCCAUAGGGCAUAACUAAGAUGGGUGUGGCCAAUUAUACAUACCUCUAUUACUGUUGAAGGUAACUCAGAAUGCUUAUAUUUCUCUGUCUGAAUUGUAAAUACUGAUAAUCUUUACUAACUGGGUACCUCGUACCCUUCUCCACCUUGCUUAUUUUACUUGUUGAAAUUUGUAUCUACCUUCUGAUUCUCCCGUUUCUUUUUACCAUAUGGGUAGAUAAAUAUUCAUGCCUUAGGGCUCCUUAUAAAGAAGCUUACACGUCUUAGCACACACAUGAUCUGCUGAAGACCUCACAUUUACUCAUCAUAAGAAUGAUGCAAAAUCGAGUUCCUCUGACUAAACUCUUCCACAGCCACAUUCAAUCUCUUACCAACUAUCUUUCUGGAUGUAGGUAUUGUUGUAUUACGAAUAUAAUAAAAUUUAGGAGUUUGAAUUCUUACAAUUGAGCUCUACCACACGAUCUAGAGUAAGAAGAAAGAGUGACACUCUUAAAUGCCCUGUAGCCUCCUACUUAUAAGUGUGGUACAGAACACACCCAUAAGUAAGAUUCUACUAGACACGACUUGUAGACUUCCUAAGACAACACUACUUUGAUACCACUUUUGUCACAACCAAAAUCGAAGGGCCGCGACGGGCACCCGGUGCCUAACUCAACUGAGUACCAACGUAACUUAUCCUUAUUAUCAUACUAUCAUGGGUAAAUGAGCCGAAAAGGCCGUCAUGAGAUAAUCAGAACUAAACAUAAGAGAAUACUCGACAUAGGAUGACCCAACAUGGUCUAUAAACUUAUACAUGUGACAUACGGGCCUAUAAGAUCGAAACGAUCAUUUGUACACUCAAAACAUAGGCCGACAAGGCCAUACAAUUAUCCAUAUACAUGACAUAAGUCUAAAAGCCUCUAAGAGUACAUAAACAUCAUAAAGGCCUGGACAGGGCCCCGCCAUACCAUUCAAUACAUGUCCAAAGCAUACUGACCAAAUAGGUAACUCCGGAGCAAGUGGAGUGCACCAACACCUUCCGCUGAGCUGAUAGCCUACUAGGAGGACUACUAACCUGUGUAUCGGGACCUGCAGGCAUGAAACACAGCACCCCCAGGCAACAGGGAUGUCAAUACAAAUAAAGUAUCAAGAACGUAAGGCAGGAAAGCAUAUAUAAGAACAAUAGUGUAAAGGGAGAUAGAGAAGAUACAACCUAUAACAUCCGAGUGCCUCUGAGAGCAAUUGACAUGAAAUGCAUGAUAUAUAUAUAUAUAUACAUACAUAUACUUUUAAAAACAUACACCUCUGUGGGCAUCAUCAUCAUCAUCAUAUCUUACCUGGACUCGAAGAGGACUCGGGAAAAAUGUACCCGGCCAUCAUAAGGCUCAGUAGAAUCUUAACCGGUCACGUAGAGCUCGGUAAACCUAACUAAUCAGUGGUUGCACAAUAGGUGCCGUACCCGACCGACUAUAGCGUGNNNNNNNNNNNNNNNNNNNNUCAUCGCACAUUCGAUUAACAUUAUGGACAUCCAUACAAUCAAUAUGAACCGCAAUAGGAUUAAAGGAUCAUACAUACUUGCUUAGAAUAACUUUAUAUGGAAAGAACAACAUGGAAAGCCUUAGUUGCUAGGAAUAGAUCCGUUAUGAAAUAGCAUAUCGUUUACGUUCAUUUUAUUUAGAUCAUGCCAAAAAAAAGAAGGAAGUGCCUUAACAUACCUUAUCACAAUCUGUCCUAUAACCAUGUUGAACUCCUCUCGUCGCACUUCAAUCCUGUAUUCCUUGCUUUCCUAAGUCCAUCAACCAACACGAACUCAUACAACCUUCACCUAUAUAAUUUCACCACCACAACAAAAAUCAAGCUACACAACAACAAGUGCAUAAACAUCACCAACGAAACUACUAUUUUACACAACAAACGACAAGCUCAGAUUGAAUCCCUUUUGAACCCUUUAACCCCAAAGUCAUUAAUUCAUUAACUUAACAACAUAUCCAGAAUGAUAUUAAGUACACUGGGAUGACUUCUAACCUCCUAUUCAUCUCCUAAUUCACCCUCAAACAACCCAACAAUCUAACCACAACACCAAGUACAACUUUCCAUUGUUAUGUUGUCUUUUCCCUUCAUAUUCACAGUACCAACAACAAGUUCGACAUGUAGACAAUAUUUUAUAAUAACAACAUCAUAAGAAAGUCAUUUUCAAAGGUUUCCAACCAUUUAAAGUUCAUGGAAACAACCUUUCCAAAACAGUCCAUUAAAAACAAUAACAUCUCAAACUAUUUCAAGUCUCCUCUUGUAGUAUUUUGCUCAAAUAAUACAACCAACACACAAACAACUUCAAGCACAUGUAGUAGGAUGUUAUACACACAUUAACCAGUAGAAUAAACACAAAAUUUCAGCCAAGCACAGCCCACAACUAUUCCCAAUGAUACCACAACACUAUAGGUGUUGUAUUCUCUUCUUGAAUCAACUUUUGGUGUUCAAGUUUGUGUGUAAACACUUGUAGUUCGCCUUGAAAAUCUAAUAUAUAUGAAGGAGGUACUGAUUACUACCUUAAUCAACAAGAACAAUAUGAAACCCGAGGUUACUUCACUUUGAUGAACCCUCCUAAAUAGCCACAAGAUGAAGUACUAUGAUCUAGCAAGCACCACGGGAUUUCUAGCAUUGGAUUCAUGUUUUUAUCUUAGGGUUUCACCCUAGAAUCAUGGAGGAACCCUUGGAGAGACUUUAGAAGGGUUUAGGAACUGUUUUGGAUGAGAAAAAUGAGUUAAAAUGAUUUAGAAUUGACAUAAAUACAACCUGGAGUUUUACACCGACUUUGUGGGUCCCAUAGGAGCUGCUUGCGCAGUAUCGCAAAAACACAUAUAUCUCUCUACUUCAAUAUCGUAUCGACGAACGGUUAAAUGAGUUAGAAACUAGACUCGUAGAUAUUCUAUUUGGUAGGUAGAUAACCCUGUAUUUCCAAGUAUAUUUGUAGAAAAGCUCAGUGACAUUUGACCUAAUGUUCAGCACAUUUAUGAAUGUAACUUGUGAUGACCUUUGCCAACCUUUUUUUUCACAACUCGCUUGACUUCAAAACAUAACACAAGACAAUCAUACGAAUAAAAUAACUCAUAAAAUAACCUCAAAAUAACACAUGUUUUGAAGUACAUGUAACAUUCCAACUUGUCGACUUUCGACGAAACUUAUUUUCUUCAAUUCGCUUAGAUUCUAAGCCUUCCAACCAUAUUGGAAAUUGGUAUUCAUGAUCUUAAAUAUUUGUAACCUCCAUGAUAACAUGAUCAACUUAUUUUGUAAACUUUUCAAAGAUUAUUUCAUUUCUGAGCUUGCAUCAAUUGACUUACGACGUACUCUUACGUACGAAAAGAUGGGGUGUAACAUAUUUGACGAGUUGUAGUACCAUUCUGAUUUGGGAGAUUCUUGAAGGGAUUUUCAAGGAGUUGGUUGGGGUAAGUGAUUAUAACUUGGAUUUGGUUAAUAUACAUGAAUCUAUCAUUAUUUUUACCAUUUAAUUAGUGUUUUGGGUUGAAAUAAUUGGGGAAAAUUGUAGAAACUUCAUAAACUAUAUUUUGAGGAUUUGAAAGGACAUUUGAGGUUGGAAUCAGAUGAUUUUGGUAUGGUUGGAAUCGUUAUUUAAUAGGUAUUCGGAUUUAAUAAAUUUUGUCUAAUUCCGAAAUGUGGGCCUCGGGUUGACUUUUUGACUUUGGUUAAAGAACUUAGCUUUAUCAUAGGGAAUCAAUUUCUAUAGCUUGUAUUGAUUGUAUUAAGUUGUUUGUGGCUAGAUUUGAGUCGUUCAGAGGCCGAUUCGCGAGGCAAGGGCUUGGUGGUGUAGGGAUUUACGCAGUUUGAGGUAAGUAACACUUUUAAAGUUGGUUCUGAGGGUAUGAAUCCCUGAAAUACGUGUUAUGUGGUUGGUAUUGAGGUGACGCACAUGCUAGGUGACGGGCGUGUGGGGAUGCACCGUGGUCACUGUGACUCGGUUGUUUUCGUGGUACCGUGUAAUUAUCAAACCUUGUUGCUAUUCAUGUAAUUCCUACGUGUUCGAGUAAUUGAUCUGCAAUCCAUGUUAGAAAUCAUGUUUAGGUUAUAUGCUUAUUCAGUUGGGACCCAUUAAUGCCAUUUCUGCUGUUGAAUUAUUUGCUUAAAUUGCAAUUAUGUACUCAGUCAUAUCCAUUAGUUGCAUCUCAUAUCUCGGUCUCUGUUGUCAUUUAUUGUACAUCAUGUAUCAUUGCUUGGGCUGAUUGGCAUGAGAUUUGUGUGCCUGAGAGACUGGAGAGAUUGAUAACUGAGUUGGGGCCUGAGAGCCGUGUUGUGAGUGAGGCUAUGGAUUGGACUGCACGCCGCAACAUGCCUUCUUGGCUUUAUAUAUAUUAUUAUUAUGGAUUGGGCUGCACGCCGCAACAAGCCUUACAUAUCUAUUAUUAUGGGAUCGGGCUGCACGCCGCAGUAGGCCAUAUUGGCUUUAUAUUAGUGCUUGGGUAGGAUCCUCCCCUCCGGAGUCUGACAUACAAGCAGUGAGCACAUGUACUGUACAGUGCUGAGUGAUUGAGUGAGAGUUGUGACGGUCAGAUUGAGUACUCCGAGUGUGUGAGUACAUGAGUUUAUCACUGUGAUGCAUUACAUGUGACAUGCACAUUCGACAUAUAGAUAUAGAGAUGUAACAUUCCUCAUAUCAAUCAUACUUGGGAUAUUUUAUCAGUGUUGAGCUUAAACUAUUAAACUUGAAAGUAUGUCUAUAUUUCUGUACUAUGUACAAACUGAUUAUGAGAUUUCUAUGGGUUAUUACUGUCAUUUUCCUGUCAUACUUGUACUGUUAUUAUCUGAAUUUGGAAUGUACCUUUCUGAGCUCGUCACCGCUUUCAGCCCAAGGUUAAUCCUGUUACUUAUUGAGUACAUUGGGCCGGUUGUACUCAUACUACACUCUGCACUUCGUGUGCAGAUCCAGGUACAUCCAGACUUGGUGAUUGCUAGACUUGGAGCAUUACCUGCUUGGAGAAUUUUGAGGUAGCUGCUAUGGCGUCCGCAGACCUUGACUCUCCUCCUUUUCAGUUUAUUUAGCAUUGUUCUAUCUUUCCAGACAGUUGAAUUAGAAGUUUUGACUGUGUUCACAUUUAGUACCUUAUGUACUCACUCGGUGACACCCGGAUUUUGGGGAUUUUAUAUUUGAGUCGCAAUUAUUCUUAUCGGUUAUUAUGAGAUUUCUCACUGUUAAACUUAUUACAUCAUAUUUUCAAUUAAAAAUGCAUAGUUAUUUAUGGUUGUUGGCUUGCCUAGUACUGUGAUAGUUGCCAACAUAUUGAGAUUUGGGUCAUGACACCUCGUUAUUAUAGGGCCCAGCCCAGAGGGUCAUUCGGGGCGUCGUGGCCUCAAAACAUUAUUCUCAUCGGCCGUAGCGCAACAUUACAGAAAUCGACAACAACCAAGUGUAAUAUUUGUUCGAAAUUAUUUCAGAUAGCAGAGGCAACCAGCUGCGCAAUGUCAAAAUCUAGCCCUACACUCAAAGUAGGCAAACAAGUUAUUGAGCAGACUUGCCAUUAACCAAGGAAACAACAACGACAAACAAAGCACAACAGUCAAACAACCAUAGCAAAAUAUCACGACCACAGAAUAGUACGACCAAGAAAGCCAUGGUCACAUUCAUAUAUUUUCCAACCAAUUUUGACGUAACAGAGCAUGUGAGAGGCGAAGAGGACAGUGAAAAACAUAACAAAAUAAGAACAGAGGUCGCCGGAAUGGCAAAAACAGUGGAGAAGCGAGGAGUCGCCGGAACUCAACUUUUCCGGCCCAAAACUUUCCAGAUCGACGCUUGCCAUAGCAUCAGCAGUCAAUGGACCAAAGAUGCUACUAUGAUGGCAAGGGUCACUAGAGCAACAUCAAAAUAACACACGAGGGGUUGCCAGAAAAUUAGUAAUCAGGCCAAAGUUAGAGGCACCCAAAACCGGCCAGAUUGGGCCGCAUCUGUGAGCACGCAACAAAAAUAGAACAAAAGAGGACAGAGAAUGGUAGUAACAGAACAUUAAAGGAUUAGGUCGCUAGAAAAGUUCUUUCCGGCCAAAACCAAAUCGGUAACUACACCAUUGAAGCCAAUGACUCUAAUACCAUGACGAACACCGGAGCAAGUGUCUCCACAGGAACAAAGUGAAGAAGGUCAUCGUCAAAGUUAGAUAUUCUGGCAGAUCUGAUAGCAGCAGUGAGAAAAAGGGAGAGAGGAGAGGGGGAGAGAUAGAGGAUUGCCUAGCCGGUGAUCAAUUCCGGUCGGCGGGAUGGCAGCAGUGGUGGGGAAGAAGGCGAUGGACGGCUGGUGCUCUCAAGAGUUGAGAGAGCCCUUAGGGUCUGAUGACAGAUUUUGUGUAAAAAAUUAGAGACAGCCAAAAAAUGUAUUAGGGUUGGCCUUAUUAAAAAAUAUGAUGUCUCUUUCUUUUUGUAGUGUAAAAAUAUAUGUGGGGUGUGUGUAGAGUGUAUGGGGUAGAAACUUAGGGAUUAAGGUUUGAGAGUAGAACAAAAUAAGUGGGUCUUUACCCAUUGUAUAAAAAUCAUGUUGGGUCAAAUCAAGGGUCAC